CGUUGAACCACCGGUUCUUGUAUGAUCACCAAAACUAAGCAAUGUCGAGCUUGGUCAGUACGUAGAUGGGUGACCGUUUGGGAAUGCCAAGUGCU
Acanthosepion pharaonis is the source of this 95-nucleotide non-coding RNA. The record is from the annotation of a GenBank genome assembly. Lineage: Eukaryota; Metazoa; Mollusca; Cephalopoda; Sepiida; Sepiidae.